RNAcentral lists this ribosomal RNA (928 nucleotides) under Limosilactobacillus reuteri. RNAcentral's name for it is "bacterial SSU rRNA". It matches the Rfam family "Bacterial small subunit ribosomal RNA", at positions 488 to 1391 of the family's 1533-position model. The record is from RNAcentral. Lineage: Bacteria; Bacillati; Bacillota; Bacilli; Lactobacillales; Lactobacillaceae.
GUCAAGGACUAAUCUCCGUGCCAGCAGCGGCGGUAGGUCCAUACGUAGGUGGCAAGCGUUAUCGGGAUUUAUUGGGCGUAAAGGGAGCGCAGGCGGUUGAUUAGCUCUGAUGGGAAAACUUUCGGCUUAACCGAAGAAGUGCAUCAGAAACCGGGCGACUUGAGUGCAGAAGAGGACAGUGGAACUCCAUGUGUAGCGGUGGAAUGUGUAGAUAUAUGGAAGAACACCUGUGGAGUUCCAAGGCGGCUGUGUGGUAUGCAACAGACGCUGAGGCUCUUGAAAGCAUGUGUAGUUCAAACAUGAUUAGAUACCCUGGUAGUACAUGCAGUAACCGAUGAGUGUUAGGUGUUGAAGUGUUUCCGUCUUUCAGUACCCGUAGUUAGUGCAUUAAACAGUCCGCCUGGGGAGUACGACCGCAAGGUUGAAAUUCAAAGGAAUUCACGAGGUCCCGCACAAGCGGUGGAGCAUGUGGUUUAAUUGGAAGCUACGAGAAGAACCUUACCAGGUCUUGACAUCUUGCCGCUACCCUUAGAGAUAAGGCGUUCCCUUCGGGGAUGCAAUGACACGGUGGUGCAUGGUCGUCGUCAGCUCGUGUCGUGAGAUGUUGGGGUAAGUCCCGCAAACCGAGCGCAACCCUUGUUACGCCUAGUAUGCCAGCAUUAAGUUGGGCACUCUAGUGAGACUGCCGGUGACAACCCGGAGGAAGGUCGGGAUGACGUCAGAUCAUCAUGCCCCUUAUGACCUGGGCUACACACGUGCUACAAUGGACGGUACAACGAGUUGCAAACUCGCGAGACGCAAGCUAAUCUUUUACUAAACCGUUAUCAGUUCGGACUGUAGGCUGCAACUCGCCUACACGAAGUCGGAAUCGCUAGUAAUCGCGGAUCAGCAUGCCGCGGUGAAUACGUUCCCGGGCCUUGUACACACC